UUUUUCUCAAAGUGACAGACCCCCACUUGCCUUGGAAUCUUACCACUUUUCAGUAAUAACUUUAAAUUAAAAUGAUAAAUGGUGAUUGACCAGCACAUACUAAGCAAACAACCUAGAAUAACAAAUAAGUUCAUGAACAUGUGGAAGAGAUAGCAAAACCUAGCACAACUUUGAAAAAACUCUUGCUCAGCAUUUUAUAAACAAACAUGAAAAAUUCUUCAAAGUAUGGAAGACCUUAAGAUCUUAGUCAUAAGAGUUCACAGAUGGAAUUAAGAAGAAUCAGUAUGAUACACUUCAUGACCAAAAGUGUAGGUUUCUUUCCUAGCAAGAUCUGAGAGAGGAAACCUAUGUGAAAACUAAAGCAGAUUUUUUUCCAAUACAGCCAAACACAAUUGUCAGUGUAGGUGAAAUUCAAUGUUAGUUGUUUCAACUAUUUGCUUUUGGGGGCAUUGGGCAGUACAGGCUCCACAGAGAACAAUGGUUCUCAAAGUUAUAGGGUGGCAGCAGGUUAUCUGGACAGCUUCUUUCAAGCCUACACACCUGGAUUUCCCUCUUGUCCCGUACAUUUUGCAAUUCUUCCACAGAUGGGGAGGCUGCAGGACACAUACAUUUCGCAAAAGAUAACCAAUGCUUUUUUUGUACCUUCCCUACAGAGAACCACUGAUAGAUACAGAAGGACUGAACUAAAAAUGCACUCGAAGACAAGAAACACAAGCAGUCUCCUACAGAAAGCAAAUCGAGAGCUCAUCUGAAAUGGAAAUGACCUAACCACACAAAGUUCUGCACCUGAAGAUGAAGUCUUCACCUUCCCAGAUCCAUCCUUUUACUUUUAGGAAUCUUCACUGUUUUUAGCCCAGUUCCAGGGCUUCUCGUUCUCACUAUAUUUCCUACUAAUCAUGAGCCUCCCUUUGCUUUUCUCUGGAAGUCACAAGAAUACAGACCCUACCUGGCCCUUGCCUUGUGAAUAUGGAUGGAGUCUAAGAAUUUACAGGGAGUAAUAAUUUCCCAUGAGCAGUGCAAGAUUGUUAAGAAACUCAAAUUUUAGGAAGGAAAGCAUUAACUUGCAUUCUACAGAGCUUACAGAGUUAUAAAGAAUAAUAUCCAUAAAAAAAAAUAAUAAUAUCCAUUCCAGUCGAG
This 1137-nucleotide long non-coding RNA is filed under the name Heterocephalus glaber (naked mole-rat). RNAcentral's name for it is "lncRNA (ENSHGLG00000046040.1)". Lineage: Eukaryota; Metazoa; Chordata; Mammalia; Rodentia; Bathyergidae. The record is from RNAcentral.